AUAAGUAAGAUGACUCAAUCAUUGGAAAAAGGAGGACCUAUUGUUACCCUGCUAAAUCACCACAUGCCCUACACUAAAGCUCAAAGAAUCCUAGACUUACUCAGAGCUCUUCAUUGGAGCUCUGAGCUGAGAGAGCUUAACCUCACUCAUAGUAAAACACUCAGAAACGCACGAAGAAGAAAGGCUGACAGGAGCAACAAUACACCAUGCAAGAUACAGAAGCAGGAAGCAGAAGAUAAGAAGAAUAAGAGAUCGAAAAGGAAGAAGUACUUACCAUCAUUCCAUCACCAGAGUUACAUCGGACUAGCUUCGAUUAGGUAAUUUGUGGACCCUUCUCAACAUUUUAUGGUGACCAUUGUGUAGAACUUCCUCCACUGAUUUGUAUCCCUUAUGUAGUUUCUUGAUUCGCAUGGGUUUGACUAUUCAAUUUUGGUUUUAUGAGAUUUAGGUUUUAUUUUGGAUUCAAUCUUUUAUAUAGGUUGUUUAGUUGAGUUUUCAAGUUGUUUAAGACCGGAUUCGAAAUCCUUGGCUAAAGUAGUUGGAGUUUGUGUUUAGUUGGUCGCCGGAGGAGGCGGUGGCGGCGAUCGAGCGGCGUCGUUUCUUCUGCAAGGUUGAAUCAACAAAGAGAGAAGAAGUUGUAGAGCAUUUCCUAUGCUUUUAUUUGAAGAGAGAGAAAAUGGCUUGGGUUACAUUUCAUUUCCUGUUAAUGAUGCCCUUUAAUGGUUGUUUCCUGUGCCUGCAUUAAUGAAUUGUGUGGCCCGAAUUAGUGGUGACACUUGUCACAGUCUCUGUUAACUCCUCCCAUGAUCCCACGCGAUGCAUCCCCUUGGUGCUAUCGUGCUCGAACACAUAUUUCCACCUCUUAAUCAUUGGACCAAGCCAGAUCUACAGAUCUGACGGUCCUAGACAAGCCUUAAGUCAACAGAGGUUGACUGAGUCCUCGGUGGACUCCCCCCGGUAUUGGGCAUCGGUGGUUCUUGGCCUUGGGGUUCCUGCUGAUAUACCUUGGGAUUCCUAUUUGAUUCCCAAACCCAUUUAUUUUUUUUCUUUAUCAUGUUUUUAUUUUACCUUUUAUUCUUUUAAUUUAUAUUUUCUUUUUUUUAUUUUAUUUCCGUGAAAGUGAUAAGGUUUUUUUAUUAAUUAGGAUAGAUACUUUUAGUUAAUUUAAUUAGCAUGUUAAUUAAUUUGUUAAAUAAUUAUAUUUAAUCUAGUUAAUUAACCAUUUUAUGUGUGCUUUGUGGAGCUUAUAUGUUUGUAAUUGAUGAUUAUUUUUGACUUAUGCAUUUUCUCAUAUUAUCAUGAUGAUGACGAUUGAUUAACCCCAAUACAUACACACCCACAACCUUUUUAAAUAAUUCUCGAUUCAACAUUGAGCCCAUUUUCGUACCCUUGUAAGUCGAUCACUUUUAGCAUCGUCGUCAACCUCAC
This 1428-nucleotide long non-coding RNA is filed under the name Lathyrus oleraceus (garden pea). RNAcentral's name for it is "Pisum sativum (pea) long non-coding RNA (PSAT_LNC027445)". Lineage: Eukaryota; Viridiplantae; Streptophyta; Magnoliopsida; Fabales; Fabaceae. The record is from RNAcentral.